GCUUACGGCCACACCGGCCUGAGUACGCCGAUCUCGCCUGAUCUCGGAAGCUAAGCAGGGUCGGGCCUGGUUAGUACUUGGAUGGGAGACCGCCUGGGAAUACCAGGUGCUGUAAGCU
Molecule: ribosomal RNA, 118 nt
Organism: Oncorhynchus mykiss (rainbow trout)
Lineage: Eukaryota; Metazoa; Chordata; Actinopteri; Salmoniformes; Salmonidae
Source: Ensembl